GCCACAGUGACCAGGAUCCAGCUGAUGUUUCUCAUUCUGACCUUUAAACCGACCCAACAUUUGUAAUUUAAAAAAAAAAAUCAAGACAGUUACUGGAAAUAAGAAAACAGUUGGACAGCAUUGAUGUCUGACGAUGACAUCAUUGGCAAAGGCAGGGCCAUCUCCCACGGGUGAAGAGGUGCGGUUCGCUGAUUGCUGCUCCUGGCUUUCGUUGCCCGGUGUUCUCCUACCAGUCCCACAUUCAACAGUACUCUGUUGACAAAAGAGUAAAAGUCUCUGUAGGAAAGUCUAGAAGAUCAGCAACAUGACAUGUUGGCCAAAGGACUUUGCAGCAGGGUUUCCAAUGAGAGCUACGUGUAUCUGGACUAUUACAGAGAACACAGUGGGAUAUCCUGAUAGCUGGUGUUUUUACCAACUGCAACAGGAUGCAUGUACAAUACUUAGAGACGUUAUUUAUUGAAAUGUUGUUAUUCAAAAGUUUAUUUUCUUUUGGUAGUUUUCAUUGUUUUGUUGGUAUGUA
This is a long non-coding RNA of Micropterus dolomieu (smallmouth bass), 520 nucleotides long. RefSeq lists it as uncharacterized. The record is from RefSeq and is a predicted model, not a curated record. The transcript is spliced from 3 exons. Lineage: Eukaryota; Metazoa; Chordata; Actinopteri; Centrarchiformes; Centrarchidae.